This 315-nucleotide ribosomal RNA is filed under the name uncultured bacterium. RNAcentral describes it as "bacterial SSU rRNA". It matches the Rfam family "Bacterial small subunit ribosomal RNA", at positions 777 to 1081 of the family's 1533-position model. The record is from RNAcentral.
ACUCAAUAGAACCCGGGUAGUCCUGGCAGUAAACGGUGCACGUUUGGUGUGGGAGGUUUCGACCCCUUCCGCGCCGGAGCUAAACGCGUUAAAAACGUGCCGCCUGGGGAGUACGGUCGCAAGAUUAAAACUCAAAGAAAUUGACGGGGCCCGCACAAGCGGUGGAGUAUGUGGCUUAAUUCGAUGCAAACGCGAAGAACCUUACCUGGCCUUGACAUGCAUCUCUAAGUCGGUGAAAGCCGGCGACUGUAGCAAUACAGAAUUUGCACAGGUGCUGCAUGGCUGUCGUCAGCUCGUGUCGUGAGAUGUUGGGUU